CAGCAGCCGCGGGAAUACGAAGGGGGCUAGCGUUGCUCGGAAUUACUGGGCGUAAAGGGCGCGUAGGCGGACAGUUCAGUCGGGGGUGAAAGCCCGGGGCUCAACCUCGGAAUUGCCUUCGAUACUGGCUGUCUUGAGUAUGAGAGAGGUGUGUGGAACUCCGAGUGUAGAGGUGAAAUUCGUAGAUAUUCGGAAGAACACCAGUGGCGAAGGCGACACACUGGCUCAUUACUGACGCUGAGGCGCGAAAGCGUGGGGAGCAAACAGGAUUAGAUACCCGUGUAGUCCCUGUCUCUUAUAC
RNAcentral lists this ribosomal RNA (301 nucleotides) under uncultured bacterium. Its description in RNAcentral is "partial 16S ribosomal RNA". It matches the Rfam family "Bacterial small subunit ribosomal RNA", at positions 509 to 807 of the family's 1533-position model. The record is from RNAcentral.